AGCAGUGAGGGGAGGGGCACUCAUCUUUGGAGAAUGCAAUCAGCUUUACUCUGCAAAGCUCUCCAUUUACUUCUUAUGACUGGCCCCUUUAUUCAACAACCAUCAAUAACAGCAAUGGAAGGAACUACCUGAGGCUUAGAGGGAUAAGUGUGCUGGCCCAGGUGACUCAGGGAACAGUCAAGGGCUAGGACACAGACCUAAUGCUGCAUUCAACUUCCUGGCUGGAAGGCCAGGAUGAAGUUAGGUGGUGAUCCGAGAAAUGUCCUCGGGCUUGCCGUUUCUCAGAGACUGCUGAUCAGGAAGGACCUCUGGAAACCACAGUUUCCACUUCCGCUGAGGGGCAGAAAGCAUGGGGCAGCCCAACCCCUCGAUGCCUGGGAAGUGACAGAGGACCAAAGCUGGCUGUGUGUCGUAGGGCUACUGCCCUUACCAGAGAGAGAGAGAACGAGCAGGCAGAGGGGAGGAGCAGAGGGAGAGAGAAUUUGAAGCCGGCGCCAUACUCAGCACGGAGCCUGACGUGGGUCGAUUCCAUGAAUGUGAGAUCACGACCUAAGCCAAAACCAAGAGUCAACCAAGAGUUGGAGGCUUAACUGAUUGAGUUAAGAAUGCUAACUGACAAGAUUGAGUUAAGAAUGCACCCAGGCACCCCACUUCUAUGAAUCUUAAUACAUGUAAAAAUUCAUGUAAUCACCACCACAAUCAAGAUAUGGAACAGUUCUACUGCCCCAAAAAAAUCCCUUAUGCUGUUUCUUUGUAGUCACAUUCUUCCUCCCAUCCCCCACAAACCUCUUGGUAAUUUGAACUAUUCUCCAUGACUAUUGUUUGUCUUUUCAAAAAUGUCACAUAAAUGGAACAAAGUAGCAUAUAAUCUUUAAAAAAUUUUUUUUCAUUUAUUUGAGACAGAGAGAGAGAGAAUG
This is a long non-coding RNA of Ailuropoda melanoleuca (giant panda), 917 nucleotides long. RefSeq lists it as uncharacterized. The transcript is spliced from 4 exons. The record is from RefSeq and is a predicted model, not a curated record. Lineage: Eukaryota; Metazoa; Chordata; Mammalia; Carnivora; Ursidae.